Molecule: ribosomal RNA, 253 nt
Filed under: uncultured bacterium
Lineage: Bacteria
Description: partial 16S ribosomal RNA
Rfam family: Bacterial small subunit ribosomal RNA
Source: RNAcentral
UACAGAGGGUGCGAGCGUUAAUCGGAAUUACUGGGCGUAAAGCGUGCGUAGACGGUUAUUUAAGUCGGAUGUGAAAGCCCUGGGCUCAACCUAGGAAGUGCAUUCGAAACUUCUGAGCUGGAGUGCUGGAGAGGAAGGCGGAAUUCUCGGUGUAGAGGUGAAAUUCGUAGAUAUCGAGAGGAACACCGGUGGCGAAGGCAGCCCCCUGGGUCAACACUGACGCUCAUGCACGAAAGCGUGGGGAGCAAACAGG